Molecule: ribosomal RNA, 506 nt
Filed under: uncultured bacterium
Lineage: Bacteria
Description: partial 16S ribosomal RNA
Rfam family: Bacterial small subunit ribosomal RNA
Source: RNAcentral
AGUGAACGCUGGCGGUAGGCCUAACACAUGCAAGUCGAACGGCAGCACAGGAGAGCUUGCUCUCUGGGUGGCGAGUAGCGGACGGGUGAGGAAUACAUCGGAAUCUACUCUGUCGUGGGGGAUAACGUAGGGAAACUUACGCUAAUACCGCAUACGACCUACGGGUGAAAGCAAGGGACCUUCGGGCCUUGCGCGAUUGAAUGAGCCGAUAUCGGAUUAGCUAGUUGGCGGGGUAAAGGCCCACCAAGGCGACGAUCCGUAGCUGGUCUGAGAGGAUGAUCAGCCACACUGGAACUAAGACACGGUCCAGACUCCUACGGGAGGCAGCAGUGGGGAAUAUUGGACAAUGGGCGCAAGCCUGAUCCAGCCAUACCGCGUGGGUGAAGAAGGCCUUCGGGUUGUAAAGCCCUUUUGUUGGGAAAGAAAUCCAGCUGGCUAAUACCCGGUUGGGAUGACGGUACCCAAAGAAUAAGCACCGGCUAACUUCGUGCCAGCCGCCGCGGUAA